This 501-nucleotide ribosomal RNA is filed under the name uncultured bacterium. RNAcentral describes it as "bacterial SSU rRNA". It matches the Rfam family "Bacterial small subunit ribosomal RNA", at positions 28 to 526 of the family's 1533-position model. The record is from RNAcentral.
GAUGAACGCUAGCGGCAGGCCUAAUACAUGCAAGUCGAGGGGCAUCUCUAGUUUGCGGACUAGAAGCGACCGGCGCACGGGUGCGUAACGCGUAUGCAAUCUACCUUGUACAGGGGAAUAGCUUUCGGAAACGAGAAUUAAUACCCCAUAGUAGGAAGAUAACGCCUGUUAUCUUUCUUAAAGCUUCGGUGGUACAAGCGGAGCAUGCGUCCCAUUAGCUAGUAGGUGAGGUAACGGCUCACCUAGGCGAUGAUGGGUAGGGGUUCUGAGAGGAAGAUCCCCCACACUGGCACUGAGACACGGGCCAGACUCCUACGGGAGGCAGCAGUAGGGAAUAUUGGUCAAUGGGCGCAAGCCUGAACCAGCCAUGCCGCGUGCAGGAAGAAGGCCCGUAAGGUUGUAAACUGCUUUUAUAGGAGAACAAACCCCUCCGGCGGGAGGGUCUGAGGGUAUCCUAAGAAUAAGCACCGGCUAACUCCGUGCCAGCCGCCGCCGUAACAC